ACAGUGUUUGUUCUUGCACAUGUUAGUUUGGAAGUGCAAAAAGGGUUAAUCAUUCCUGCAGCACCGCACCAUACCUGUAAUACAGCCUGCAGCUACUGAAUUGGCUCUCUCUCCUUCACUUGACAAAACACGGCACAGCCUAGACAGAAUGGUUCUCAGUGGUCUUGUGCAGAUGGUGCCAAGCUGACUUCUCUUGGAUUUCUUCUUCGACUUAAACAUCUGAUUUGGGGGUACUGUUUAAUGAAGAAACCUACACCCCAAAUUAAAACAAAGCCCAAGAACUUGGUGCUUCCAACCACAUAGAUUUUCAGUGAGAGGUGUAAGUAUGUGUCAUCUAAUCAUCAUCCCAUGCUCUCUUGAAGAGU
This 365-nucleotide long non-coding RNA is filed under the name Pogona vitticeps (central bearded dragon). RNAcentral's name for it is "lncRNA (ENSPVIG00000004558.1)". The record is from RNAcentral. Lineage: Eukaryota; Metazoa; Chordata; Lepidosauria; Squamata; Agamidae.